Molecule: non-coding RNA, 367 nt
Organism: Malus domestica (apple)
Lineage: Eukaryota; Viridiplantae; Streptophyta; Magnoliopsida; Rosales; Rosaceae
Source: RefSeq, a predicted model, not a curated record
AAACCACUCACCCCCACUUUUUCUUCUUCCCCAAACCUCUCAUAUCCUAAUUCCAAGGUGUCCAAUUCAGCUGCUGCUCAAACUAAAUAGGGAUAUGAAGGAGAAGGAUCUCGGAUAGAAAAAUACAAAAAAAAAGAAUGUCUCGCCAGACCAAAAAACAAAUAAUUGAUGGAGGCAACGCAUCAAGUUUGAAAAGCAGGCUUAAGGAAGUCGAGACGGAGACACGCAAUAUGCUUGCCACAACCACUGUUCUAAAAAUCCCCGCCUAGCGCCGCCUAGGCCCCGCCUAGGCGCUAGGCCCUAGCCCACCGCCCCGAUUAAUGCCUAGGCCCCAGCCCACCGCCUAGACCACCUAGGCACCCGCCUA